Molecule: small nuclear RNA, 105 nt
Filed under: Catagonus wagneri (Chacoan peccary)
Lineage: Eukaryota; Metazoa; Chordata; Mammalia; Artiodactyla; Tayassuidae
Source: RNAcentral
GCUCAUUUCUGCAGCGCAUAUACGACAAACAGAACGGUACAGAGAAGAUCAGCAUGGCCCCUGUGCAAGGAUGAGACCCAUAUUCAUGAUGCAGUCCCUAUUUUU